GGACGGGUGAGUAACGCGUGAGCAAUCUGCCUUUGUGAGCGGAAUAACGACUGGAAACGGUCGCUAAUACCGCAUAACACAUAGAGACCGCAUGGUCAUUAUGUUAAAGAUUUAUCGCACAAAGAUGAGCUCGCGUCUGAUUAGAUAGUUGGUAGGGUAACGGCCUACCAAGUCUGCGAUCAGUAGCCGGACUGAGAGGUCGAACGGCCACAUUGGAACUGAGAAACGGUCCAGACUCCUACGGGAGGCAGCAGUGGGGAAUAUUGGGCAAUGGACGAAAGUCUGACCCAGCGACGCCGCGUGAAGGAAGACGGUCUUCGGAUUGUAAACUUCAGUCAACAGGGAAGAAGAAAGUGACGGUACCUGUGGAGGAAGCCACGGCUAACUACGUGCCAGCAGCCGCGGUAAUACGUAGGUGGCAAGCGUUAUCCGGAUUUACUGGGUGUAAAG
Molecule: ribosomal RNA, 450 nt
Filed under: uncultured bacterium
Lineage: Bacteria
Description: bacterial SSU rRNA
Rfam family: Bacterial small subunit ribosomal RNA
Source: RNAcentral